This 252-nucleotide ribosomal RNA is filed under the name Salmonella enterica subsp. enterica serovar Weltevreden. RNAcentral's name for it is "partial 16S ribosomal RNA". It matches the Rfam family "Bacterial small subunit ribosomal RNA", at positions 1003 to 1255 of the family's 1533-position model. The record is from RNAcentral. Lineage: Bacteria; Pseudomonadati; Pseudomonadota; Gammaproteobacteria; Enterobacterales; Enterobacteriaceae.
GAGAUGGACUGGUGCCUUCGGGAACUGUGAGACAGGUGCUGCAUGGCUGUCGUCAGCUCGUGUUGUGAAAUGUUGGGUUAAGUCCCGCAACGAGCGCAACCCUUAUCCUUUGUUGCCAGCGGUUAGGCCGGGAACUCAAAGGAGACUGCCAGUGAUAAACUGGAGGAAGGUGGGGAUGACGUCAAGUCAUCAUGGCCCUUACGACCAGGGCUACACACGUGCUACAAUGGCGCAUACAAAGAGAAGCGACCU